CUCUCUCUCUCUCUCUCUCUCUCUCUCUCUCCACUGUUUUUUAUUACUACAGAGAUGUGAGGAAGACAAGGUUGAAUUGACAGGAUGUGUAAGCAGAUCUAACAGUACCAAGGAGAACUCAUUUCCUUCCAUAUUUCUGAGAAAACACUGCCUUGUGCUGAUGGUGAACAGCUUCAGCAAGCUGUGGCUUUGUGUGGGAGAUCCAUACCCCUGAUAAACUCCAUCGAUAACCUCUAAUUCUUUACAACCAGUCACUGUCAUUCCUUUGAUGUUGUGAACCUCCCAGUAGAAGACAAACCUUACUCGUGUCAGGCGCUGCACCUCAGGUUCACAGUAAGGAGAGCUGCAUGGCUGUCUGCAUGGUGGGGAGCCAGAGGAUGUGGGAGCUGUUCAAGCCAUGAUGCUGGAAGCCACAGAACAAGAGGGAUUGAGAAUACAGUGCCAUUCUGAGACCGAAGGACUGGAAGCUUCCUGGAGUUUCUAUGUCAGUUCACAUAGAAAAGCAAAAGAAGCUGAGCUCUGCUGUCCAUAGGCCAUGGUACUAGCAAAAGAUGCACCCGCUCAAGCAGAAUGAAGCUUUUGAACUGCAGGUUAACUUUCUCUUUCUUUCAGAUGUAUUGCAUCCAUCUGCAAGUCCAUUGGAUGGUGCAACCCAUCAACAGGGUGGGUCUUCCUCCCUCAGUUUGCUGGCCUACAUGUCUAUGAUCUCUGGAAGCAUUCCACAGACAUACUCAGAACUGGACUUUUCUAAGCUGUUAAGCAUCUCUUAAUUUAAUCAUUGACAAUCACAAUAAUUGUCACAAGAACCAAAGUUAAUUAUGUACUUUAUCUUAGGGAGUAGAAUUAUGUUUUCUUAUUGAUCCAUCAUGCCUUUUUUGUGCUUUUCAAGUUUUCUACAAGGAGUAUAAAUUGCCUA
Molecule: long non-coding RNA, 916 nt
Organism: Cavia porcellus (domestic guinea pig)
Lineage: Eukaryota; Metazoa; Chordata; Mammalia; Rodentia; Caviidae
Exons: 3
Source: RefSeq, a predicted model, not a curated record